Helianthus annuus (common sunflower) is the source of this 251-nucleotide long non-coding RNA. RefSeq lists it as uncharacterized. The transcript is spliced from 4 exons. The record is from RefSeq and is a predicted model, not a curated record. NCBI's taxonomy places the organism in Eukaryota, Viridiplantae, Streptophyta, Magnoliopsida, Asterales, Asteraceae.
CAAAAAAUGCUGGUGUGAAGGGUUCUACUAUUGCUGGCUAUGUCAUCUAGAAAUGAACCUGCUAUGUCAGCGAAGAUUCUUAAUAAAGCUGGUUGGAUGUUAUCGGACCAGACUGGUAGAGUAAAGAGCUUUAAACUAAGGGCUGGUCGAAUUUGUGUGCAUGUUGGCAUGCUUUUAGCAACCUGUGGAGAGGAUUUAGGACUGUGUUGGCUUGUUCGGGUCUUGGUGAAAGUUUGGUCAACACGAAGAGC